This 2555-nucleotide long non-coding RNA is filed under the name Macaca fascicularis (crab-eating macaque). Its description in RNAcentral is "lncRNA (ENSMFAG00000057572.1)". The record is from RNAcentral. Lineage: Eukaryota; Metazoa; Chordata; Mammalia; Primates; Cercopithecidae.
CCGAGGCUCCGAAGUGACAGGUGGAAUAGCAGCCCGGGCUUCGGACCUCAGGCCUCAGUUUAUUCUGUGGGAGGGGACGCUCUCUCUCUGCGUCCUUGUGAAAAUGAUCUUGUCUUUAAACCCUGCGUGGCAAUCCUUGAUGCACCGCCGUGAUGCCCAGGGAAGACAGGGCAACCUGGAAGUCCAACUACUUCUUUAAGAUCAUCCAGCUUUUGGAUGAUUAUCCGAAAUGUUUCAUUGUGGGAACAGCAAUGUGGGCUCCAAGCAGAUGCAGCAGAUCCGCAUGUCCCUCCGAGAGAAGGCUGUGGUGCUGAUGGACAAGAACGGCCUGAUGCGCACGGCCAUCUGAGGGCACCUGGAAGACAACCCAGCUCUGGAGUAACUGUUGCCUCAUAUCUGGGGGAAUGUGGGCUUUGCGUUUACCAAGGAGGACCUCACUGAAAUCAGGGAUAUGUUGCUGGCUAGUAAGGUGCCAGCUGCCACCUGUGCUCGUCCCGUUGCCCCAUGUGAAGUCACUGUGCCAGCCCAGAACACUGGUCUGGGGCCUGAGAAGACCUCCUUUUUCCAGGCUUUAGGAAUCACCACUAAAAUCUCCAAGGGGCACCACUGAAAUCCUGAGUGAUGUGCAGCUGAUCAAGACUGGAGACAAAGUGGGAACCACGCUGCUGAACACGCUGAACCUCUCUCCCUUCUCCUUUGGGCUGGUCAACCAGCAGGUGUCUGACAGUGGCAGCAUCUACAACCCUGAAGUGCUUGACAUCACAGAGGAAACUGCAUUCUUGCUUCCUGGAGGGUGUCCGCGACGUUGCCAGUGUCUGUCUGCAGAUUGGCUACCCACCUGUUGCAUCAGUGCCCCAUUCUAUCAUCAGUGGGUACAAACGAGUCCUGGCUCUGUCUGUGGAGACUGAUUACACCUUCCUACUUGCUGGAAAGGUCAAGGCCUUCUUGGCUGAUCCAUCUGCUUUUGUGGCUGUUGCCUCUGUGGCUGCCACCACCACAGCUGCUCCUGCUACUGUAGCCCCACUGAGGUUGAAGCCAAGGAAGAGUUGGAGGAGCUGGAUGAGGAUGUGGGAUUUGGUCUCUUUGACUAAUCAUCAAAAAGCAACCAACUCAGCCAACUUUAUUUGCAAAACAAGGAAAUAAAGGCUUAAAUUCUUAAAAAAAAUAAAAAAAUAAAAAAGAAAGGUUGGACCAGGACAGGAGUAAGAACAGAGGCAAUUGGCCAAUACUGAUGACAUUCCCUAUAUGCAAUGCACCAUGCCCACCCAGAGAAGGACAUCACACUUACUAAAACUGGCCCAUUUCACAGACAGAUUGAGAGAGGCAGAGGAGUGAUUGUGCCCAAGAAUCUUACACUGGGGUGAGAGCUAAGCCUCUCUUGCCACCUACAGCUCUCAUCUCUAGGUUUGUCAUCUCUCAGAGGAAAGGCAGGAGAGAGAACUGACAAGAUUGGACCUUCUGAGUGGAAAGAGAUUUUUAGAGCUGGAAGGAAUCUUAGAAAUGACCAAAAGUUUGACAGAUUCAAGAGCUCAGGUAACUUGCUAAGAUCACAGAACAAAUCUUUGCUCCAGUGGGGACUAAGCUCUGGGUUUCUUGAAGAUGGACACAGGUAAAUUUGAUCCAAAAUGGCACUUCAAAGAGAAACAUACACGGACUGAUGGUGUUCCACCUUUAUUUAUUUAUUUUUUUUUUGAGAUGGAGUCUCAUUCCGUCUCCCAGGCUGGAGGCAAUAGCGUGAACUCAGCUUACUGCAACCUCCACCUCCUGGUUCAAGCAAUUCUCAUGCCUUAGCCACCUGAGUAGUUGGGAUUACAGGCAUGCGCCACCGUGCCUUGCUGAUAUUUGUGUUUUUGGUAGAGACAGGGUUUCACCAUGAUGGUCAGGCUGAUCUCAAACUCCUGACCUCAUGAUCUGCCCGCCUUGGCCUCCCAAAGUGUUGGGAUUACAGGCGUGAGCCACCAUGCCCAGUUUGUUUUCCACUUCUAAGUCCCAGAUGGUUCCUCCUGGGGUUCUAGAGGGGCUUGGAAUGGGAGGACAAGCAACAUCUUCCUCCCGAGCAUCUACAGGAGCCUUGAUUGCCUCUCUCCUCCCCGAGGGAUCAGUGUUGGCCACACAACCUUGCCAUGCCUCCACUUCUGCUCAGCUCUCAGUACGCAGAGGGUGGCUGGAGCUGGGGCCACAGAUGGACGUACAGCUGGGCAGCUCAGCACUCUCAUCUGUGCCUUAUCAGCUGGGGGGCUGUGGUGGCAUGAAGCUGGUGGGAGGCUGGCACUUGCCCAGGAUUCUCGGAGCCCUUGUGCUCAUCACUUCAUGAGUUCAGGCUGCGUGGGGACAGCUUGCUUCAAGUCCACAGUCAGGCGCAACCCUAACUCAGUCUGCCCUGCAAAGGCGGGCCCAGCCCCUGAUCCACAUGAACUGCCGGAAGAAAAAUCCAAAGGGAAAGUCAGUGAAGACAUUUGUGGAAAGAACUGUGGAAGAAGGAAUAAGAACCUACCAUUUUUCCUGCCAGUGUCUGCUAAUAAGUAAUAAUAAAAUAACAAUGAUAACUCAUAAUG